RNAcentral lists this ribosomal RNA (253 nucleotides) under uncultured bacterium. Its description in RNAcentral is "partial 16S ribosomal RNA". It matches the Rfam family "Bacterial small subunit ribosomal RNA", at positions 524 to 776 of the family's 1533-position model. The record is from RNAcentral.
UACGUAGGGUGCGAGCGUUGUCCGGAAUUAUUGGGCGUAAAGGGCUCGUAGGCGGCCUGUUGCGUCAGGAGUGAAAACUCGGGGCUUAACCCCGAGCCUGCUUCUGAUACGGGCAGACUAGAGGUAUGCAGGGGAGAACGGAAUUCCUGGUGUAGCGGUGAAAUGCGCAGAUAUCAGGAGGAACACCGGUGGCGAAGGCGGUUCUCUGGGCAUUACCUGACGCUGAGGAGCGAAAGUGUGGGGAGCGAACAGG